CAUAGCUUCUAGAAUCCAUAAGAAGUAACGCCUGCCCGGUGUGAUAAUAAACGGCUGCAUAGCAUUAAAGUAGCGUAAUAAUUUGUUCCUUGAUUGGGGACUUGAAUGAAUGGAAUAACGGGGGUUGACUGUCUCCUUCAAUUUCAUAGAAUUUUAUGAUUAAGUGAAAAAUCUUAAAUAGCUGAGGAGGACGAUAAGACCCUAUAGAAUUUUAUAACAUGCUAGAGCUUAUGCUCUUAAGUUAUUUUGUUGGGGCAACAAAGGGGGUAAUAAAACCCCUUAAGAGAGUUUGUACUAUAGUACAAUUACAAUAUCCUAUAAUAGAAUUAAUAAAAAUUACCUUAGGGAUAACAGCACAAUAUCUCCCAGAGAGACCUAAUUGAAGGGAGAGUUUGUGACCUCGAUGUUGGACUAAGAUAACUUUUAAGUGCAGAAGCUUAAGAGAGUGGGCCUGUCCGGCCCUUAAAAUCUUACAUGAUCUGAGUUCAA
RNAcentral lists this ribosomal RNA (489 nucleotides) under Electra pilosa. Its description in RNAcentral is "partial 16S ribosomal RNA". It matches the Rfam family "Bacterial large subunit ribosomal RNA", at positions 1814 to 2614 of the family's 2925-position model. The record is from RNAcentral. Lineage: Eukaryota; Metazoa; Bryozoa; Gymnolaemata; Cheilostomatida; Electridae.